UUUAAGAAUACCUAAUGUGAG
This 21-nucleotide non-coding RNA is filed under the name Caenorhabditis elegans. Lineage: Eukaryota; Metazoa; Nematoda; Chromadorea; Rhabditida; Rhabditidae. The record is from RNAcentral.